UGGGGAAUAUUGCGCAAUGGGGGAAACCCUGACGCAGCAACGCCGCGUGAAGGAAGAAGGUCUUCGGAUUGUAAACUUUUGUCUUUGGUGACGAAAAAAAUGACGGUAGCCAAGGAGGAAGCCACGGCUAACUACGUGCCAGCAGCCGCGGUAAUACGUAGGUGGCAAGCGUUGUCCGGAUUUACUGGGUGUAAAGGGCGUGUAGACGGGUUAUUAAGUCAGGUGUGAAAUCCCACAGCUUAACUGUGGAACUGCAUCUGAAACUAAUAAUCUUGAGUGUGGGAGAGGAAAGCGGAAUUCCUAGUGUAGCGGUGAAAUGCGUAGAUAUUAGGAGGAACACCAGUGGCGAAGGCGGCUUUCUGGACCAUAACUGACGUUGAGGCGCGAAAGCGUGGGGAGCAAACA
This is a ribosomal RNA of 405 nucleotides. It matches the Rfam family "Bacterial small subunit ribosomal RNA", at positions 355 to 774 of the family's 1533-position model.